AUACUUAACCAGCAGGGCAGAUGAUCCGGAAGGUAGUUUUCCCAGGGUGAGGCUUAUCUAUUGCAUUCAUUACCCCUGUGACUUCACCAAAUGUGGGAAAUUCAACUGCGUAAUUAGUCAUAGUGGGUGGGGCCCUGCAUUCACGUUUUCCCCUG
This 155-nucleotide small nuclear RNA is filed under the name Octodon degus (degu). Its description in RNAcentral is "U1 spliceosomal RNA (ENSODEG00000021605.1)". It matches the Rfam family "U1 spliceosomal RNA". Rfam says of the family: U1 is a small nuclear RNA (snRNA) component of the spliceosome (involved in pre-mRNA splicing). Its 5' end forms complementary base pairs with the 5' splice junction, thus defining the 5' donor site of an intron. Lineage: Eukaryota; Metazoa; Chordata; Mammalia; Rodentia; Octodontidae. The record is from RNAcentral.